Molecule: ribosomal RNA, 382 nt
Filed under: uncultured eukaryote
Lineage: Eukaryota
Description: partial 18S ribosomal RNA
Rfam family: Eukaryotic small subunit ribosomal RNA
Source: RNAcentral
UGUAAGCGUAUACCAAAGUUGUUGCAGUUAAAACGCUCGUAGUCGGAAUUUGGCAGUUCCGGAUGUGUGCACGUCGUGUGCGCACUUCGCGGGGAUUGCUUUUGUGGUCUUGCGUAGGAUGAGGCACUUUUAUUAGUGAACGUCCUCACGCAACCACUUUUUACUGUGAGAAAAUCAGGGUGCUCAAAGCAGGCAUUUACCGUGAAUGUAUUAGCAUGGAAUAAUAGAAUAGGACUUGGUUCUAUUUUGUUGGUUUGUUGGGACUGAGUAAUGAUUAAGAGGGACAGUUGGGGGCAUUUGUAUUUCGGUGCUAGAGGUGAAAUUCUUAGAUUACCGAAAGACAAACUGCUGCGAAAGCGUCUGCCAAGGAUGUUUUCAUUGA